GCGAGCGAAAAGAAAAUAGUUCAGCACUAAGUCACUUUGUCUUAAUGGCAAAUGUGAGAUGCAGUGUAUGGAACAUCUAUAAUCUAGUAUGAUAAAUUGAUGAUUUAAGUCCUUCUUAAAUGAGGCCAUUUACCCAAAGAGGGUGCCAGGCCCGUAUAACGUUAAUGAUUGCUAGAAGAUGCUUCCAAAGAGUCGUGUUGCUUGAUAGUGCAGCACUAAGUGGGUGGUAAACUCCAUCUAAAACUAAAUAUUACCAUGAGACCGAUAGUAAACAAGUACCGUGAGGGAAAGUUGAAAAGAACUCUGAAUAGAGAGUUAAAUAGUACGUGAAACUGCUUAGAGGUUAAGCCCGAUGAACCUGAAUAUCCAUUAUAGAAAAUACAGCAUUAUGAUAAUGAUAUUAAUAAUAUUGUUUAUAUAAUGUGCAUUUUUUCUAUAUAAGGACAUUGUAAUCUAUUAACAUAUAUAUAUUUAUCAGAAGAUCAUUAGAUUAAAGUUUAUUUUAAUUGAUUUGCUUUAGUAAAUUAACAUAAAAUAAGUUCUUUUGAUUUGAUAAAUUGUUGAUAGAUUUAUUAAAUAUGGUGCUUAAAUUCAAUGAAUGAAUUUUGUAAUGGCAUAGAUUUCUAUUAGAUUUUUAUGUUUAAUUACAUGCACCAAUAUGAUUAACAAUGCGAUAGAUUCAGGAUACCUUCGGGACCCGUCUU
Molecule: ribosomal RNA, 704 nt
Filed under: Zodion erythrurum
Lineage: Eukaryota; Metazoa; Arthropoda; Insecta; Diptera; Conopidae
Description: eukaryotic LSU rRNA
Rfam family: Eukaryotic large subunit ribosomal RNA
Source: RNAcentral